RNAcentral lists this ribosomal RNA (111 nucleotides) under Bacillus testis. The record is from RNAcentral. Lineage: Bacteria; Bacillati; Bacillota; Bacilli; Caryophanales; Bacillaceae.
GGUGGCAAUAGCGAAGAGGAUACACCCGUUCCCAUUCCGAACACGGAAGUUAAGCUCUUCAGCGCCGAUGGCAGUUGGGGGCUUCCCCCUGCGAGAGUAGGACGUUGCCAG